GGGCGAUUAGCUCAGUUGGUAGAGCAGCUGACUCUUAAUCAGCGGGUCGCAGGUUCGAGUCCUGCAUCGCCCACCA
This 76-nucleotide transfer RNA is filed under the name Alphaproteobacteria bacterium. RNAcentral describes it as "tRNA-Lys". It matches the Rfam family "tRNA". Rfam says of the family: Transfer RNA (tRNA) molecules are approximately 80 nucleotides in length. Their secondary structure includes four short double-helical elements and three loops (D, anti-codon, and T loops). Further hydrogen bonds mediate the characteristic L-shaped molecular structure. tRNAs have two regions of fundamental functional importance: the anti-codon, which is responsible for specific mRNA codon recognition, and the 3' end, to which the tRNAs corresponding amino acid is attached (by aminoacyl-tRNA synthetases). tRNAs cope with the degeneracy of the genetic code in two manners: having more than one tRNA (with a specific anti-codon) for a particular amino acid; and 'wobble' base-pairing, i.e. permitting non-standard base-pairing at the 3rd anti-codon position. RNAcentral also lists the same sequence under 3 other names. The record is from RNAcentral. Lineage: Bacteria; Pseudomonadati; Pseudomonadota; Alphaproteobacteria.